Maniola jurtina (meadow brown) is the source of this 94-nucleotide long non-coding RNA. RefSeq lists it as uncharacterized. The record is from RefSeq and is a predicted model, not a curated record. The transcript has 3 exons. NCBI's taxonomy places the organism in Eukaryota, Metazoa, Arthropoda, Insecta, Lepidoptera, Nymphalidae.
AAUUCGCGUCCUCUGUUAGAUUAAAGUUUGCUUACCAUGCUAAAUAAUAUCGAUUUAGCUAAAAAAUUGCCUACGUCAAAUUCUGUAAAUUAAA